AUCUACCAUACACAGUAAACACCAAUUCUUCAUAACCUCUAAGUCUUCAUACCUGUAUUUAGCAGAAAAAAAAUGUCACAUUGUCGACUAAGAAGACAUAACAACACAACUUCGCUUUUACCCCCCGAUGACAGUGAAGACAGUUUGGUGGAUGACUCAGAUGAGGAUCCAGAUUACACCC
This is a long non-coding RNA of Homalodisca vitripennis (glassy-winged sharpshooter), 181 nucleotides long. RefSeq lists it as uncharacterized. The transcript is spliced from 2 exons. NCBI's taxonomy places the organism in Eukaryota, Metazoa, Arthropoda, Insecta, Hemiptera, Cicadellidae. The record is from RefSeq and is a predicted model, not a curated record.